This 163-nucleotide ribosomal RNA is filed under the name uncultured bacterium. RNAcentral describes it as "partial 16S rRNA". It matches the Rfam family "Bacterial small subunit ribosomal RNA", at positions 355 to 510 of the family's 1533-position model. The record is from RNAcentral.
UAGGGAAUCUUCCACAAUGGACGCAAGUCUGAUGGAGCAACGCCGCGUGAGUGAAGAAGGUCUUCGGAUCGUAAAACUCUGUUGUUAAAGAAGAACAUAUCUGAGAGUAACUGUUCAGGUAUUGACGGUAUUUAACCAGAAAGCCGCGGCUAACUACGUGCCA